UACAGAGGUCUCAAGCGUUGUUCGGAUUCAUUGGGCGUAAAGGGUGCGUAGGUGGCGCUGUAAGUCAGGUGUGAAAUUUCGGAGCUUAACUCCGAAACUGCAUUUGAUACUGCGGUGCUUGAGGACUGGAGAGGAGACUGGAAUUUACGGUGUAGCAGUGAAAUGCGUAGAUAUCAAGUGGAACACCAGUGGCGAAGGCGAGUCCCUGGACACUUCCUGGCACUGAGGCACGAAAGCUAGGGGAGCAAACAGG
Molecule: ribosomal RNA, 253 nt
Filed under: uncultured bacterium
Lineage: Bacteria
Description: partial 16S ribosomal RNA
Rfam family: Bacterial small subunit ribosomal RNA
Source: RNAcentral